Molecule: transfer RNA, 73 nt
Filed under: Ailuropoda melanoleuca (giant panda)
Lineage: Eukaryota; Metazoa; Chordata; Mammalia; Carnivora; Ursidae
Rfam family: tRNA
About the family: Transfer RNA (tRNA) molecules are approximately 80 nucleotides in length. Their secondary structure includes four short double-helical elements and three loops (D, anti-codon, and T loops).
Source: Rfam by way of RNAcentral
GCCUGGCUGGCUCAGUUGGUAGAGUGUGCAACUCUUGAUCUUGGGGCUGUGGGUUUGAACCCCGUGUUGGGUA